Molecule: long non-coding RNA, 363 nt
Filed under: Homo sapiens (human)
Lineage: Eukaryota; Metazoa; Chordata; Mammalia; Primates; Hominidae
Description: non-protein coding lnc-SNAPC3-3:1
Source: RNAcentral
GAGACCCCUGAGGUAACCGCACGGUGUGGGGGCUUCGAGGCGGACGACUUGGGAGGGAGGUGUUGAGAGGGUUGUAGGGGCCCCUGAGUGAGUUUGGGGCGGCCCUGGGGCUGUUGGCGUAGGCUUUGGGGCACGCCUCCAGCUCCCUGGGCUGGGUCUCCCCGCCCACCUGGAGGAAGAUCUCCGUGGAGCAUCCUAGCCAGAGAUCGCUGAGGCUGUACCAGAGCGCCGGAUGGGGACCAGAGGGGAGGCAGAGGACCGGGAUUUGGAGCUUCUUAGGGUUACUGCUGCGGAGCGCUUUCGUUCCCGAGAAUCAACCUCAAAUCAUCUAACGUGAAGCCACAGACAUCUUGGGCAAUUUUA